This is a long non-coding RNA of Sinocyclocheilus grahami, 893 nucleotides long. Lineage: Eukaryota; Metazoa; Chordata; Actinopteri; Cypriniformes; Cyprinidae. The record is from Ensembl.
UUUCAUAAUAUGUUCUGUUUUUCUAUCUCGUUUAAUGUACAGAAUCGUUCAGUAGCAGUUUGGAUUAGAGGUAACAAUGGAAAAAUCUCCCACUUCUAAUGUGAAGAGCAUCUUUCGCAGAUUUUCUUUAUUUAGAAAAAGCGAUGGGCACAUUAAAAAGAAACAAUCUAUACGGUCAUUAAAAACAUUUAUAUCAGAGGAUAAAGACGAGAAAGUUACCACAGAGAAAUUUGAAUUUAAGACCACAGAGAUUCCUCUAAAGCCAUGCUCAGUUUUGCAGAUCAAAAAUUAUAUACAAACAGACAUGCUGAAGGAGGCAUAUCUGAACCUGCUUUCCCUGCGCCUGGAGUUCAAGUUAGAACAGAGCGCUCUGGGGGAAGGAGAAUCUCACUCAAAUCUGGUUAAUAAAGAGAAAGACCUUAAUCUGUUGUAUGACGCACUAAGGGACAAAAUGUCUGUCAUUGUAUGCCACUCCAGUGCUCUUCCCUCAUGCAAUAAAGAGCUGCUGGUGUAUGUGGCCACCAUUAUCCUGGAGGAAGAGAAGAGACGGGGAGAGCCAGGAGCGAUGCAGGGAUGGAGGGAAGCAUGGAAGGAUGCGGUACUAAACGGGGUUCGGGAUUCACUGAAGAAAGUUCCUCUGGACAGCCGCGACCAGAACGAUUCCUGGCUGGCAGUGCAUCUGGAGCACCUGGGUAAAGCUGUGGUGGAGGAUUUGCAGAGAGUGGAGACUGAGCUUCUAAGCUCAUAUCCAGCAGACUUUAAUGUGUUUGAAACCUAUGUGUCCUGCCACCAUGAAGCUGUAGGAGAGCAUCUAAAGAGACUUCUGGAAAGCGUGACAGAGCUGAAAGCUUACUACGCUCUUCUAGAUUUCAUUAUUCUUUCCUAUCCCAGGU